Molecule: ribosomal RNA, 1497 nt
Filed under: uncultured rumen bacterium
Lineage: Bacteria
Description: partial 16S ribosomal RNA
Rfam family: Bacterial small subunit ribosomal RNA
Source: RNAcentral
AGAGUUUGAUCCUGGCUCAGGAUGAACGCUGGCGGCGUGCCUAAUACAUGCAAGUCGAGCGAGAAGCUACUUUGAAGCGUUUUCGGACAAUUCUGUGUAGUGGAAAGCGGCGGACGGGUGAGUAACGCGUAGGCAACCUGCCCUUAGCAGAGGGAUAGCCAUUGGAAACGAUGAUUAAAACCUCAUAAUGCCAACUUAACACAUGUUGAGCUGGCCAAAGAUUUAUCGGCUAAGGAUGGGCCUGCGUCUGAUUAACUAGUUGGCGGGGUAACGGCCCACCAAGGUGACGAUCAGUAGCCGACCUGAGAGGGUGAUCGGCCACAUUGGAACUGAGACACGGUCCAAACUUCUACGGAAGGCAGCAGUAAGGAAUCUUGCACAAUGGGGGAAACCCUGAUGCAGCAACGCCGCGUGAACGAUGAAGGCCUUCGGGUUGUAAAGUUCUGAUCUUGGGGAAGAAGAAAGUGACGGUACCCAAGGAGAAAGCCCCGGCUAACUACGUGCCAGCAGCCGCGGUAAUACGUAGGGGGCAAGCGUUAUCCGGAAUUAUUGGGCGUAAAGAGUGCGUAGGUGGUUACCUAAGCGCAAGGUUUAAUCUUGAGGCUCAACCUCAUUCUGCCUUGCGAACUGGGCUACUUGAGUGCUGGAGGGGAAAGCGGAAUUCCCAGUGUAGCGGUGAAAUGCGUAGAUAUUGGGAAGAACACCGGUGGCGAAGGCGGCGUUCUGGACAGUAUCUGACACUGAGGCACGAAAGCGUGGGGAGCAGACAGGAUUAGAUACUCUGGUAGUCCACGCCGCAAACGAUGAGCACUAGUUGUUGUGUGCGAAUGGAUACAGUGACGCAGUUAACGCAAUAAGUGCUCCGCCUGGGGAGUACGGUGGCAACACUAAAACUCAAAGGAAUUGACGGGGACCCGCACAAGCAGCGGAGCAUGUGGUUUAAUUUGAAGCAACGCGAAAAACCUUACCAGGGCUUGACAUCCCUCUGAAAGCUCUUUUAACCGAGAGCCCCCUUCGGGCAGAGGUGACAGGUGGUGCAUGGUUGUCGUCAGCUCGUGUCGUGAGAUGUUGGGUUAAGUCCCGCAACGAGCGCAACCCUUAUCCUCUGUUGCCAGCACUUCGGGUGGGAACUCAGAGGAGACUGCCAGUUAUAAACUGGAGGAAGGCGGGGAUGACGUCAAGUCAUCAUGGCCCUUACGGCCGGGGCUACACACGUGCUACAAUGGGGCGUACAGAGGGAAGCCAAGCCGUGAGGCGGAGCGGAUCUCACAAAGCGUCCCGUAGUUCGGAUUGAAGUCUGCAACUCGGCUUCAUGAAGUCGGAAUCGCUAGUAAUCGCGAAUCAGAAUGUCGCGGUGAAUACGUUCCCGGGCCUUGUACACACCGCCCGUCACACCAUGGGAGCGGAAUGCACCAGAAGCAGCUUGCUUAACAGCAAUGGGGGCGGCUGCCACGGUGUGUUUUGUAACUGGGGUGAAGUCGUAACAAGGUAACCGUA